CCUACGGGGAGCAGCAGUGGGGAAUAUUGCACAAUGGGGGAAACCCUGAUGCAGCGACGCCGCGUGAGCGAUGAAGUAUUUCGGGAUGUAAAGCUCUAUCAGCAGGGAAGAAAAUGACGGUACCUGACUAGGAAGCCCCGGAUAACUACGUGCCAGCAGCCGCGGUAAUACGUAGGGGGCAAGCGUUAUCCGGAUUUACUGGGUGUAAAGGGGGCGUAGACGGCGGUGCAAGCCAGAUGUGAAAGACUGGGGCUCAACCCCGGGACUGCAUUUGGAACUGUGCUGCUAGAGUGUCGGAGAGGCAGGCGGAAUGCCUAGUGUAGCGGUGAAAUGCGUAGAUAUUAGGAGGAACACCAGUGGCGAAGGCGGCCUGCUGGACGAUGACUGACGUUGAGGCUCGAAAGCGUGGGGAGCAAACAGGAUUAGAUACCCCGGUAGUC
Molecule: ribosomal RNA, 440 nt
Filed under: uncultured bacterium
Lineage: Bacteria
Description: partial 16S ribosomal RNA
Rfam family: Bacterial small subunit ribosomal RNA
Source: RNAcentral